This 75-nucleotide transfer RNA is filed under the name uncultured archaeon. Its description in RNAcentral is "tRNA-Pro(cgg)". It matches the Rfam family "tRNA". Rfam says of the family: Transfer RNA (tRNA) molecules are approximately 80 nucleotides in length. Their secondary structure includes four short double-helical elements and three loops (D, anti-codon, and T loops). Further hydrogen bonds mediate the characteristic L-shaped molecular structure. tRNAs have two regions of fundamental functional importance: the anti-codon, which is responsible for specific mRNA codon recognition, and the 3' end, to which the tRNAs corresponding amino acid is attached (by aminoacyl-tRNA synthetases). tRNAs cope with the degeneracy of the genetic code in two manners: having more than one tRNA (with a specific anti-codon) for a particular amino acid; and 'wobble' base-pairing, i.e. permitting non-standard base-pairing at the 3rd anti-codon position. The record is from RNAcentral.
GGGGUGGUAGUCUAGCCUGGUAUGAUGCUUGGUUCGGGACCAAGAGGUCGUGGGUUCAAAUCCCAUCCACCCCAC